Molecule: ribosomal RNA, 326 nt
Filed under: uncultured bacterium
Lineage: Bacteria
Description: bacterial SSU rRNA
Rfam family: Bacterial small subunit ribosomal RNA
Source: RNAcentral
GAACGAACGCUGGCGGCAGGCUUAACACAUGCAAGUCGAACGGGUGCAGCAAUGCAUCAGUGGCAGACGGGUGAGUAACACGUGGGAACCUUCCUAGGGGUACGGAACAACUCAGGGGAAACUUGAGCUAAUACCGUAUACGUCCGUAAGGAGAAAGAUUCAUCGGCCCCUAGAACGGGCCCGCGUCGGAUUAGGGUAGUUGGGUGGGGUAACGGCCUACCAAGCCUGCGAUCCGUAGCUGAUCUGAGAGGGAUGAUCAGCCACACCGGGGACUGAGACACGGCCCAGGACUCCUACGGGAGGCAGCAGUGGGGAAUCUUGGACAA